This 380-nucleotide ribosomal RNA is filed under the name uncultured eukaryote. RNAcentral describes it as "partial 18S ribosomal RNA". It matches the Rfam family "Eukaryotic small subunit ribosomal RNA", at positions 592 to 976 of the family's 1831-position model. The record is from RNAcentral.
CAAUAGCGUAUAUUAAAGUUGUUGCAGUUAAAAAGCUCGUAGUUGGAUUUGUGGCGUACGACGGGCUCCGGGCACUUGUUGUCUGAGUAGCUUGUCGUUGCCAUCCUUGGGUGGAACCUGUGUGGCAUUAGGUUGUCGUGCAGGGGAUGCCCAUCUUUUACUGUGAAAAAAUUAGAGUGUUCAAAGCAGGCUUAUGCCGUUGAAUAUAUUAGCAUGGAAUAAUAAGAUAGGACUUUGUCGCUAUUUUGUUGGUUUGCGCGAUAAGGUAAUGAUUAAUAGGGACAGUUGGGGGUAUUCGUAUUCCGUUGUCAGAGGUGAAAUUCUUGGAUUUUUGGAAGACGAACUACUGCGAAAGCAUUUACCAAGGAUGUUUUCAUUAA